CGAUCCCAUCCCGAACUCGGAAGUUAAGCUCCUUGGAGCCGAUGGUACUGCUGGGGCGACUCAGUGGGAGAGUAGGACGCCGCCGGGU
This 88-nucleotide ribosomal RNA is filed under the name Polyangium sp. y55x31. Lineage: Bacteria; Pseudomonadati; Myxococcota; Polyangiales; Polyangiaceae. The record is from RNAcentral.